GUGCCAGCAGCCGCGGUAAUACGUAGGGUGCAAGCGUUAUCCGGAAUUACUGGGCGUAAAGAGCUCGUAGUCGGUUUGUCACGUCGUAUGUGAAAUUCCACAGCUUCAACUGUGGGCGUGUCAGGCGAUACGGGCUGACUUGAGUACUGUAGGGGUAACUGGAAUUCCCUAGUUGUAGCGGUGGAAAUGGCGCAGAUAUCAGGAGGAACACCCGAUGGCGAAGGCAGGUUAUCUGGUCAGUUACUGACGCUGAGG
This 255-nucleotide ribosomal RNA is filed under the name uncultured Actinomycetales bacterium. Its description in RNAcentral is "partial 16S ribosomal RNA". It matches the Rfam family "Bacterial small subunit ribosomal RNA", at positions 505 to 751 of the family's 1533-position model. Lineage: Bacteria; Bacillati; Actinomycetota; Actinomycetes; Actinomycetales. The record is from RNAcentral.